Molecule: ribosomal RNA, 620 nt
Filed under: Variovorax sp. Se3Pw_3630
Lineage: Bacteria; Pseudomonadati; Pseudomonadota; Betaproteobacteria; Burkholderiales; Comamonadaceae
Description: bacterial SSU rRNA
Rfam family: Bacterial small subunit ribosomal RNA
Source: RNAcentral
UGCCGCGUGCAGGAUGAAGGCCUUCGGGUUGUAAACUGCUUUUGUACGGAACGAAACGGCUCUUUCUAAUAAAGAGGGCUAAUGACGGUACCGUAAGAAUAAGCACCGGCUAACUACGUGCCAGCAGCCGCGGUAAUACGUAGGGUGCAAGCGUUAAUCGGAAUUACUGGGCGUAAAGCGUGCGCAGGCGGUGAUGUAAGACAGUUGUGAAAUCCCCGGGCUCAACCUGGGAACUGCAUCUGUGACUGCAUCGCUGGAGUGCGGCAGAGGGGGAUGGAAUUCCGCGUGUAGCAGUGAAAUGCGUAGAUAUGCGGAGGAACACCGAUGGCGAAGGCAAUCCCCUGGGCCUGCACUGACGCUCAUGCACGAAAGCGUGGGGAGCAAACAGGAUUAGAUACCCUGGUAGUCCACGCCCUAAACGAUGUCAACUGGUUGUUGGGUCUUCACUGACUCAGUAACGAAGCUAACGCGUGAAGUUGACCGCCUGGGGAGUACGGCCGCAAGGUUGAAACUCACAGGAAUUGACGGGGACCCGCACAAGCGGUGGAUGAUGUGGUUUAAUUCGAUGCAACGCGAAGAACCUUACCCACCUUUGACAUGUACGGAAUUUGCCAGAGAUG